CGAUUACGCGAAGAACCUUACCAACCCUUGACAUCCUCGGACCGGCCCAGAGAUGGGUCUUUCACUUCGGUGACCGAGUGACAGGUGCUGCAUGGCUGUCGUCAGCUCGUGUCGUGAGAUGUUCGGUUAAGUCCGGCAACGAGCGCAACCCACAUCCUUAGUUGCCAGCAGUUCGGCUGGGCACUCUAAGGAAACUGCCCGUGAUAAGCGGGAGGAAGGUGUGGAUGACGUCAAGUCCUCAUGGCCCUUACGGGUUGGGCUACACACGUGCUACAAUGGCAGUGACAAUGGGUUAAUCCCAAAAAACUGUCUCAGUUCGGAUUGGGGUCUGCAACUCGACCCCAUGAAGUCGGAAUCGCUAGUAAUCGCGUAACAGCAUGACGCGGUGAAUACGUUCCACGGGUCUGUACACACCG
RNAcentral lists this ribosomal RNA (416 nucleotides) under uncultured bacterium. RNAcentral's name for it is "bacterial SSU rRNA". It matches the Rfam family "Bacterial small subunit ribosomal RNA", at positions 952 to 1392 of the family's 1533-position model. The record is from RNAcentral.